UCCGGCUUAUCACCGGCAGUCCCUUUAGAGUGCCCAACUGAAUGAUGGCAACUAAAGGCGAGGGUUGCGCUCGUUGCGGGACUUAACCCAACAUCUCACGACACGAGCUGACGACAGCCAUGCAGCACCUGUCACCAAGUUCCUUGCGGCACAGUUUCCUUUCGGAAGCCUUCUUGGGAUGUCAAACCCUGGUAAGGUUCUUCGGUUAUCAUCGAAUUAAAGAACAUGAUCCGCUACUUGUGCGGGUCCCCGUCAAUUCCUUUAUGUUUUAGUCUUGCGACCGUACUCCACAGGUGGGAUACUUAACGCGUUAGCUUCGCUACUGAAGGGGUCGAUACCUCCAACAGCUAGUAUCCAUCGUUUACGGCGUGGACUAC
This 377-nucleotide unclassified non-coding RNA is filed under the name uncultured bacterium. RNAcentral describes it as "contains 16S-23S intergenic spacer region". The record is from RNAcentral.